This 73-nucleotide transfer RNA is filed under the name Gemmatimonadaceae bacterium. RNAcentral describes it as "tRNA-Asn". It matches the Rfam family "tRNA". From Rfam's summary of the family: Transfer RNA (tRNA) molecules are approximately 80 nucleotides in length. Lineage: Bacteria; Pseudomonadati; Gemmatimonadota; Gemmatimonadia; Gemmatimonadales; Gemmatimonadaceae. The record is from RNAcentral.
GGGAGCGAAGCUCAAGUGGCUGAGCGGCCGGUUGUUAACCGGAUGGAUGUUGGUUCGAGCCCAACCGUUCCCG